AUACGCGUGUGUGAAGAAGGCCUGAGGGUUGUAAAGCACUUUCAAUAGGAAGGAAUACCUAUCGGUUAAUACCCGGUAGACUGACAUUACCUAUACAAGAAGCACCGGCUAACUCCGUGCCAGCAGCCGCGGUAAUACGGAGGGUGCAAGCGUUAAUCGGAAUUACUGGUCGUAAAGCGUGCGUAGGCGGUUAUUUAAGUCAGAUGUGAAAGCCCUGGGCUUAACCUGGGAACUGCAUUUGAUACUGGAUGACUAGAGUUGAGUAGAGGAGAGUGGAAUUUCAGGUGUAGCGGUGAAAUGCGUAGAGAUCUGAAGGAACACCAGUGGCGAAGGCGGCUCUCUGGACUCAAACUGACGCUGAGGUACGAAAGCGUGGGUAGCAAACAGGAUUAGAUACCCUGGUAGUCCACGCCGUAAACGAUGUCAACUAACCGUUGGGUUCUUUAAGAACUUAGUGGUGGAGCUAACGUAUUAAGUUGACCGCCUGGGGAGUACGGCCGCAAGGCUAAAACUCAAAUGAAUUGACGGGGGCCCGCACAAGCGGUGGAGCAUGUGGUUUAAUUCGAUGCAACGCGAAGAACCUUUACUACCCUUGACAUGUAGCGAAUCCUUUAGAGAUAGAGGAGUGCCUUCGGGAACGCUA
This 643-nucleotide ribosomal RNA is filed under the name uncultured bacterium. RNAcentral's name for it is "bacterial SSU rRNA". It matches the Rfam family "Bacterial small subunit ribosomal RNA", at positions 395 to 1031 of the family's 1533-position model. The record is from RNAcentral.